AUGCUUUUCAUUUUAACAUCUUCAGAUAAGAGUGGACUCCGACCAUCUUAAGAUGUUACACUGUGAAUUUGGAAGAGUCAAUUCUUAAGACUGUUCAAAUGUACUUUACUAAAAACCCUGGAAAUUUCAUUUUCUAGAAAAUAAUUAGGAAAGGAAUGUGAAACAAGUGUUGACUCAGACGUGGUAGCUGAAUGUGAAGUCAAUUCAUUCAAGACGUACCACAUGAGAUUCAGCUUCUGCAAGAAUCAUGUUGGGAAUAAAAAAAAUAAUAAUAAUUAAAAAAAUCAUCACAGAAGACCUCUAGAAGACCUCUACAGAUGGGAGACUCUAAACUUGUACAUGUGAGGAGGUUCCAUAUUGGAGAAAGAGAUCUGAAAACUAAGUUACUGGUAGCAACACUCCAUGUUUAAAAAUCUGUUUAGAAAGCACGGAUUCUCCAGCAUAAUAUAACUGUUCCUGACUCCUAGCCCAAGUAUGGACAACAAGUAUGGAAUUCUUCACAUUUUUC
RNAcentral lists this long non-coding RNA (508 nucleotides) under Phasianus colchicus (ring-necked pheasant). RNAcentral describes it as "lncRNA (ENSPCLG00000000827.1)". Lineage: Eukaryota; Metazoa; Chordata; Aves; Galliformes; Phasianidae. The record is from RNAcentral.